CUGAAGGCCACAUAGUCCAACUCCCCUGCAAUGAACAGGGACACCACAGCUAAAUCAGGUUUCCCAGGGCCUUAUUGAGCCUCACCUUGAAAGUCUCCAGGGACAGGGCAUCAACCACAUUGAGUAACCUGUUCCAGUGCCUCACCACCCUCACUGUAAAAGAGUUUUUCCUUAUAUCCAAACUAAAUCCACCCUCCUUGAGCUUGAAACCAUUUCCCUUUGUUCUAUUGCCACAGAUCCUGCUAAAGAGUCUUUGCCCUUCUUUCCCGUAGCUCCCCUUUAGAUACUGAAAGGCUGUUAUCAGGUCACCUCUCAGCCUUCUCUUCUCCAGGCUGCACAGCCCCAGCUCUCUCAGCCUGUACGCGUAGGAGAGGUGUUCCAUUCCCUGAAUCAUUUUUGUGCCCCUUCUCUGGAUGCACUCCUAGAAGUCUAUGCCUGUCAAGUCUCCUGUACUGAGGACUCCACAGCUGCAUGCAGUACUCCAGGCACCCCUCACCUCAAACUAAGAAAGAAAGGUGCUGCUGAGUCAGUUGGAGACUGAGCCCCAUCAAGG
RNAcentral lists this long non-coding RNA (553 nucleotides) under Gallus gallus (chicken). RNAcentral describes it as "long non-coding RNA NONGGAT001116". Lineage: Eukaryota; Metazoa; Chordata; Aves; Galliformes; Phasianidae. The record is from RNAcentral.